Molecule: ribosomal RNA, 476 nt
Filed under: uncultured bacterium
Lineage: Bacteria
Description: partial 16S ribosomal RNA
Rfam family: Bacterial small subunit ribosomal RNA
Source: RNAcentral
GAUGAACGCUGGCGGCGUGCUUAACACAUGCAAGUCGAGCGAGUGAGUUCUUCGGAACGAUCUAGCGGCGGACGGGUGAGUAACACGUGGGCAACCUGCCUCAUAGAGGGGAAUAGCCUCCCGAAAGGGAGAUUAAUACCGCAUAGAAUUAUCGAGUGGCAUCACAUGAUAAUCAAAGGAGUAAUCCGCUAUGAGAUGGGCCCGCGGCGCAUUAGCUAGUUGGUGAGGUAACGGCUCACCAAGGGGACGAUGCGUAGCCGACCUGAGAGGGUGAUCGGCCACAUUGGGACUGAGACACGGCCCAGACUCCUACGGGAGGCAGCAGUGGGGAAUAUUGCACAAUGGGGGAAACCCUGAUGCAGCAACGCCGCGUGAGUGAUGAAGGUCUUCGGAUUGUAAAGCUCUGUCUUUGGGGACGAUAAUGACGGUACCCAAGGAGGAAGCCACGGCUAACUACGUGCCAGCCGCCGCGGUAA